GGCGUUGUUCCAAUUUGAUCACCCAAAAUUUUUUAUUCCCGGAAAAAACAAAGAGCUCUCACUUUGGCGAAGAGUUAAUGGAGUCCUAACUCAGUCACUCUCAGCAAAGUACUAAUAAAACUGGGAUUCAUUCAUUAAUGUCAAAAUCAGGAACUUGAAUACCGGGAUUCGUAUAUUCAAUUCUUAACGGACCGGCCCUAUUUGUAUGGUGAAGAACACACUAGAUGAGAUCAACUGUCUGAAAAGAAAAUGCUGCAUGCUGUCUGAAUCUCAAUAUGUGAGCAUGGAGAAAAAGUAACUACAAGAUGAGAAUUCGGCUCUGGAUGCUCAAAUUGGGAAACUGCAAUGUGAACUCAAGGUGAGGGUCUGGUCUGCAACUCGACCUGAAUGUAGCCCCACCUGAAUGUGAACUUCAAGAACUGGAAUCGCGUAUUGGUGAUGAUCAUCAUCAUAGAUUGCCUUGUGUGGAACCAGUUGUUGAUCCUUUAUAUCUCGUCCCUGUCUGCUCAAAUACUCGAGCUUAUCAAGAGCCUGCUAUGGCAGAACUUGCAGGUAAGCCUAACCACAUCCUAGAUAUCCUACUGCAGCAGACAUAUGGCCAUCCGAUUUCUUGAAAAUCAACUGGAGUUAGGCGUGGAAUUUGGAUAAAAGUGGAUGUACAGGACAGCAGGAGGAGGGCUUUUUGACAAUGGAAACUAUAUAAACUACAGUUAUACUCAAGUCUAGUCUCCUAACAAACACAUCUUUCAUCACCUAUCUGUACAUACAUUCGACCUUUUUCCUAAUGUAUAGUUAGAGAUGAUGGAUUUUACCUUAAUUUUAAGGAAGAAUGGUUCUAAAUCUUUGGGGAAAUAAUAUCAUUUGUCCUCAA
Molecule: long non-coding RNA, 871 nt
Organism: Olea europaea var. sylvestris
Lineage: Eukaryota; Viridiplantae; Streptophyta; Magnoliopsida; Lamiales; Oleaceae
Exons: 3
Source: RefSeq, a predicted model, not a curated record